CCGCCCAUAGCUCAGUUGGUAGAGCAGAUCCCUCUUAAGGAUANNGGUCCCUGGUUCGAGCCCAGGUGGGCGGA
RNAcentral lists this transfer RNA (74 nucleotides) under Candidatus Tayloriibacteriota bacterium. RNAcentral describes it as "tRNA-Lys". It matches the Rfam family "tRNA". Rfam says of the family: Transfer RNA (tRNA) molecules are approximately 80 nucleotides in length. Their secondary structure includes four short double-helical elements and three loops (D, anti-codon, and T loops). Further hydrogen bonds mediate the characteristic L-shaped molecular structure. tRNAs have two regions of fundamental functional importance: the anti-codon, which is responsible for specific mRNA codon recognition, and the 3' end, to which the tRNAs corresponding amino acid is attached (by aminoacyl-tRNA synthetases). tRNAs cope with the degeneracy of the genetic code in two manners: having more than one tRNA (with a specific anti-codon) for a particular amino acid; and 'wobble' base-pairing, i.e. permitting non-standard base-pairing at the 3rd anti-codon position. Lineage: Bacteria; Candidatus Tayloriibacteriota. The record is from RNAcentral.